UACGUAGGUGGCAAGCGUUGUCCGGAUUUACUGGGUGUAAAGGGCGUGUAGGCGGGAAGAUAAGUCAGAUGUGAAAUUCCAUGGCUCAACUGUGGCGCUGCAUCUGAAACUAUUUUUCUUGAGUGAUGGAGAGGAAAGUGGAAUUCCUAGUGUAGCGGUGAAAUGCGUAGAUAUUAGGAGGAACACCAGUGGCGAAGGCGACUUUCUGGACAUUAACUGACGCUGAGGCGCGAAAGCGUGGGGAGCAAACAGG
Molecule: ribosomal RNA, 253 nt
Filed under: uncultured bacterium
Lineage: Bacteria
Description: partial 16S ribosomal RNA
Rfam family: Bacterial small subunit ribosomal RNA
Source: RNAcentral